GAUCAUGGCUCAGGAUGAACGCUAGCUACAGGCUUAACACAUGCAAGUCGAGGGGCAGCAUGACCUAGCAAUAGGUUGAUGGCGACCGGCGCACGGGUGAGUAACACGUAUCCAACCUACCGGUUAUUCCGGGAUAGCCUUUCGAAAGAAAGAUUAAUACCGGAUAGUAUAACGAGAAGGCAUCUUUUUGUUAUUAAAGAAUUUCGAUAACCGAUGGGGAUGCGUUCCAUUAGUUUGUUGCGGGGUAACGCCC
Molecule: ribosomal RNA, 253 nt
Filed under: uncultured bacterium
Lineage: Bacteria
Description: partial 16S ribosomal RNA
Rfam family: Bacterial small subunit ribosomal RNA
Source: RNAcentral